CAAGAAGAGACCCUAACCGGUCCUCUCAACCCUGCCCAUCGUACCUUUUCUUGUUGUUCCCUCGGCGGCUGCCUCGCGGGCCCGCCGGCGGGAAGACCAAACAAACCCUUUGCAAACAAGCAUAUCGAAAUCUCUGAUCAAAACAUGAAUUGUCA
Molecule: unclassified non-coding RNA, 155 nt
Filed under: soil metagenome
Description: partial internal transcribed spacer 1
Source: RNAcentral